UUUUACCAAAUAGCCAUGACUUCUGUUCUCUCCACUGCCGCUCUCUCUUCUACGUUUACUAGCAGCAAAUGUUGAAUCUGAGAAAACUGAAGCUAUCAAAAUAGUUUUAAUUGACGCAAAUUCCAAACAGAUAAGAACAUCUGGACUUAACCCUUUGGUGAUUUUAUUGGUGGCGUAAAGGAUUUAACCCUUUGGCAUGUCUGAUUCUUUUUCUGGUGCUUCUGGUUGUGCUGCUAAUAUGUUGAUAUAUGGAAGGCUAUGAUCAUAAAUGUUUGCAGGAAUUUCUUGAGUAAAUCAGG
Molecule: long non-coding RNA, 299 nt
Filed under: Panax ginseng (ginseng)
Lineage: Eukaryota; Viridiplantae; Streptophyta; Magnoliopsida; Apiales; Araliaceae
Description: long non-coding RNA (PGIN_LNC001847)
Source: RNAcentral